UCUUCAUUUCACACACUCUCUAACCGGUCAGAGAAGCAAGAGAGCACGUGAAAUGAAGAGA
RNAcentral lists this microRNA precursor (61 nucleotides) under Pristionchus pacificus. RNAcentral's name for it is "mir-8364 microRNA precursor family". It matches the Rfam family "mir-8364 microRNA precursor family". Lineage: Eukaryota; Metazoa; Nematoda; Chromadorea; Rhabditida; Neodiplogasteridae. The record is from Rfam by way of RNAcentral.